UUGGAAGAAAAAAAAGCGCCCAUUGGCGUAGAGAAAUGGGUGAAAAAACAAAGCAGCCGCGUUUGACGCAGUAGUUUUCCUCCGCCGUCGCAAAUUCGCAGUUGAAUCCGAAGAAAAUGGUGUUGGUUGGGGCGGCGAUGGGGCUGAUGAGCGGCACGCUCGUCUACUACCACUGCGCCUACCGCCAAUCCAGCGUCGUCUCGCUCAUGGCCGACGUCCUCAUCGUGCUCCUCUGCUCUCUCGCCAUCCUCGGCCUCCUCUUCCGCCACAUGAACAUCGCCGUCCCCGUCGAUCCCCUCCACUGGCAGAUCUCCCAGGACGCCGCCUCCUCUCUCUUCGCCUGCCUCGCCAACACUCUCGGCGCCGCCGAGUCCGUCCUCCGCGUCGCCGCCACCGGCCACGACAAACGCCUCUUCCUCAAGGUGGUUUUCUGCCUUUAUUUGCUCUCUAUAGUCGGAAGAGCUUUCUCCGGCGUCGCUGUGGCUUACAUCGGAUUGUGCUUGUACUGUGUCUACGCUAUUCUUGAAAACUCUCAGACCAACAGUGCAUAUUUGGGACGGCUUGCGGGUAGAAGAGAUGGCGUUCAAGAUAACUAAUGAUUCCAAUGCUUGUGCAGUUUGCAUUUUCUGUUAAUACAUCAAGUAGUCUUUAUUCGAGCAAAUAAUGCCUUCGUGAUGGGGAAAAUUCCCAUUUAUGUAUUAGGUUUACUUAAUACUUACAUGUAUUGUCUUGCUCUUGUAUUCUCACGAGCAUUUAUUGUUCGUAUGUUCAGAUGCUUAGCACUAUCCAGUUCUAGGAACAUCCAAUUCAAUUAGAAUAGAGUGACCUUCAGCUCUGAUCCUACAAAUGAAAAUCUUAGUUAGUGCAAAUGAGCAAAUGAAGUCUUCCAUAUUGUUUCUAAACACCAAACACUACGGAGGUUGUUGACAUAAUCAUCUUGGAUGAUGAGUUUGAAGAACUUCUGCAGGAGGGCGCGACAUGGGUAAGAAAUGACCCGAUGCAGAGAAGAGGAUAGUACCAUGUAUACAUGAUAACGACACGAUAACUCAAAAUGCAGCAGUAUAGAACUGUGUUACAUGUGAUAUAGCCUCCUUUUUUGUAGAAAUAAAAUUUUGAAUUAAUGGUAAUUUUAUUCUUCUCAUGGUA
This is a non-coding RNA of Salvia hispanica, 1146 nucleotides long. Lineage: Eukaryota; Viridiplantae; Streptophyta; Magnoliopsida; Lamiales; Lamiaceae. The record is from RefSeq and is a predicted model, not a curated record.